Molecule: transfer RNA, 73 nt
Filed under: Canis lupus familiaris (dog)
Lineage: Eukaryota; Metazoa; Chordata; Mammalia; Carnivora; Canidae
Also listed under: 1 other name
Rfam family: tRNA
About the family: Transfer RNA (tRNA) molecules are approximately 80 nucleotides in length. Their secondary structure includes four short double-helical elements and three loops (D, anti-codon, and T loops).
Source: Rfam by way of RNAcentral
GCUUGGCUGGCUUAGUCAGUAGAGCAUGUGACUCUUAAUCUCAGGGUUGUGAGUUCCAACCCCAUGUUGGGCA